Molecule: long non-coding RNA, 393 nt
Filed under: Sus scrofa (pig)
Lineage: Eukaryota; Metazoa; Chordata; Mammalia; Artiodactyla; Suidae
Description: lncRNA (ENSSSCG00030025922.1)
Source: RNAcentral
CUAGUGUUUUUUUUUUUGUUUGUUUGUUUUUGUUGUGUUUUUUUUUUUUUUCUUAGUAGAGUCCCUUUAUUUACUGGAAGUACAGAAAAGGGAUUCAAUUUUUUUUCCCCCUCCAAUAGAAAAUACCUCUGUAUGAAUCAAGUGCAUUCUUGCUACCUGAAAACAGUUUCAGGCACAACCCCCUACACAAAGGAUUCACAAGUUAAUAACUCUUGUUGCAGGUGUAAUCCACCCUGGCAGGGAAAUUCCAGAGUAAUCUUUUGGAAGAAGUCGCUGCUGACUUGGGAAAGGCUGCAAUUCUGCGGCGCUGGGCAGAGCAAGCCCUCGGCAUCGGGCCACGUGCCACGGGCUGGAAGAAAUGGAAAUUCUCAAUCGGUUGUGACUCAGCAGUGA